CAAGGCCCGCAAGAAGCUCCUGGCGUAAGUUUCUUUUCAGUCUUAGGGGAACGUUCUUUGACCUUUGAGAGUUGUUCUUAGAUACUUAAAAUGUGCCAAUGCCUAAGUCUUGACUUGCACGUAGUCUGUCAUAGAAAUACAGCUGUUCCCUUAGAGGCACCCACUCCUCUGUCCUGUACACACCCACUCCUCCUGUCUCGUAGGGACUAGAGGUUAGUUGGAGCAGGAGCCCUUGGUGGGCCCAGCAACUCAUUCCUGAAGCUGACUAGGUUCAAAGGGAGAGGUCUGGGGAUGUGCUUCUGUCUCCCCAGCAUCUCAUCUCUUCCCAAACUGACCCAUCUUUUCUCUUCCCUGACCAGUGACCAGGCUGAGGCCCGCAGGUCUAAGACCAAGGAAGCACGCAAGCGCCGUGAAGAGCGCCUCCAGGCCAAGAAGGAGGAGAUCAUCAAGACUUUAUCCAAGGAGGAAGAGACCAAGAAAUAAAACCUCCCCCUUUGUCUGUACAUACUGGCCUCUGUGAUGACAUAGAUCAGCCAUUAAAAUGAAACAAGCCUUAAUCUGC
This 562-nucleotide small RNA is filed under the name Pongo abelii (Sumatran orangutan). Its description in RNAcentral is "retained intron". Lineage: Eukaryota; Metazoa; Chordata; Mammalia; Primates; Hominidae. The record is from RNAcentral.